Molecule: ribosomal RNA, 484 nt
Filed under: uncultured Bacillota bacterium
Lineage: Bacteria; Bacillati; Bacillota
Description: bacterial SSU rRNA
Rfam family: Bacterial small subunit ribosomal RNA
Source: RNAcentral
GGCAGCAGUGGGGAAUCUUCGGCAAUGGGCGAAAGCCUGACCGAGCAACGCCGCGUGAAUGAUGAAGGCCUUCGGGUUGUAAAAUUCUGUUAUAAGGGAAGAACGACUUUAGUAGGAAAUGGCUAGAGUGUGACGGUACCUUAUGAGAAAGCCACGGCUAACUACGUGCCAGCAGCCGCGGUAAUACGUAGGUGGCGAGCGUUAUCCGGAAUUAUUGGGCGUAAGGAGCGCGCAGGUGGUUGAUUAAGUCUGAUGUGAAAGCCCACGGCUUAACCGUGGAGGGUCAUUGGAAACUGGUCGACUUGAGUGCAGAAGAGGGAAGUGGAAUUCCAUGUGUAGCGGUGAAAUGCGUAGAGAUAUGGAGGAACACCAGUGGCGAAGGCGGCUUCCUGGUCUGUAACUGACACUGAGGCGCGAAAGCGUGGGGAGCAAACAGGAUUAGAUACCCUGAUAGUCCACGCCGUAAACGAUGAGUGCUAAGUGU